UCAGGAAAGUNUGGAGUAAAAGGCUAUGGCUCAACCAUAGUGUGCUNUGGAAACUGUCUGACUUGAGUGCAGAAGGGGAGAGUGGAAUUCCAUGUGUAGCGGUGAAAUGCGUAGAUAUAUGGAGGAACACCAGUGGCGAAAGCGGCUCUNUGGUCUGUCACUGACGCUGAGGCUCGAAAGCGUGGGUAGCGAACAGGAUUAGAUACCCUGGUAGUNCACGCCGUAAACGAUGAGUGCUAGGUGUUAGGCCCUUUCCGGGGCUUAGUGCCGGAGCUAACGCAAUAAGCACUCCGCCUGGGGAGUACGACCGCAAGGUUGAAACUCAAAGGAAUUGACGGGGGCCCGCACAAGCGGUGGAGCAUGUGGUUUAAUUCGAAGCAACGCGAAGAACCUUACCAGGUCUUGACAUCCCGAUGCUAUUCUUAGAGAUAGGAAGUUACUUCGGUACAUCGGAGACAGGUGGUGCAUGGUUGUCGUCAGCUCGUGUCGUGAGAUGUUGGGUUAAGUCCCGCAACGAGCGCAACCCUUAUUGUUAGUUGCCAUCAUUAAGUUGGGCACUCUAGCGAGACUGCCGGUAAUAAACCGGAGGAAGGUGGGGAUGACGUCAAAUCAUCAUGCCCCUUAUGACCUGGGCUACACACGUGCUACAAUGGUCGGUACAACGAGUUGCGAGCCGGUGACGGCAAGCUAAUCUCUGAAAGCCGAUCUCAGUUCGGAUUGGAGGCUGCAACUCGCCUCCAUGAAGUCGGAAUCGCUAGUAAUCGCGGAUCAGCACGCCGCGGUGAAUACGUUCCCGGGCCUUGUACACACCGCCCGUCACACCACGAGAGUUUGUAACACCCGAAGUCGGUGAGGUAA
This 858-nucleotide ribosomal RNA is filed under the name uncultured bacterium. RNAcentral's name for it is "bacterial SSU rRNA". It matches the Rfam family "Bacterial small subunit ribosomal RNA", at positions 579 to 1438 of the family's 1533-position model. The record is from RNAcentral.